CGGCAGUUCCGGACUUGGCCGGUUCCGCGUGGUCGGCGCGUGGUGGGCCCGAUUCAGUCUCCUUCGUUCCCACGCAAGGCAGUCUUGAUCCCAAACAACCGAGGAUGCUAGGGUUCCGCCCGCCAUCGUCGCCGCUCAGUCCGGCCGUCCCGGCGUCCCCCAUCUCUGCGGGUCAUCGCCUCCGUCCCGUCCGUGGAGGCGCAGCUGAACCAGUGGGGCGCCGGCCCGCUGCAAUAUUCCGGUCGGUCCUGAGGGGGCCUCGCCGCGAGCGCACCUCGACGUGUACAGCGUCCAGGCCAACCAAGUCCUAUGGCCGUUCUUCGCUUUCAAUCUCGAGGCCUCAAGACAAUCCCAACUCCUACAUAUUCCACACUCCCUCCUCCAAAUCGAAUCGAAUCAAUCGACCAGCGGCGGAGGAACCGAUGGACGCCGGGGCCGGCCUGAGGAGUGAGGAGCUCCUCUCGGAGACGCUCGCCCGCACCUCCACGCGCGACGCCUGUCGCGCCGCGGCCGACUCUGACUCCGUCUGGCCUGCUUCCUGCCCCGCGUCCUCCCGCCGCUCGCCGCCGGGGAGCUGCCCGUGGCGCCGCCGCCGCGCAAGAAGGACCUCUUCGUCCGCCUCACCGACUGCCCCGUUCUCCUCCCGGACAAACGUGUGGAUCAGGCCUGAUCUCGCCCCGGUCUCUCUUCCCUGCCCUUCCGUAGCGGUGCCGCCAUAAUCCUCGAUGCUGGAUUGGGUGUGGUCGUCUUUGGGCCAUGGAUCCUCACCAGGGUCGUCAUCAUCUUCUUUCGCCUCAGGACGCGGCAAGUGCUUCUCCUCCUCCAUGAACGGCCAGUGUAGAAGCUCGCCUCUGUAUCCAGGACUCCUCAUCUGUCAUUCAGUGUAGAAGCUCGCCUCUGUAUCCAGGACUCCUCAUCUGUCAUUCAGGUAUGCAAGUUCAAUAACCAUUUCUCAAAUCAAGAACACUGAGAUAUCUUACCACUGAUUGAUUUACAUCAUGCCGCUAAAUCAAAGAUUAUAUGCCUUCUAAAAGACAGCAUUCAGAUUUUCACACAUAGAAAACCAAAUAAUGCCAGUAAGCUGAGACAUGUGUUUCAAAUGUUGCGGAUCGAUGAAUGCUUGCAAUGUGACAAAUCAUUGGAGUAGAAGUUGGAAUGCGAGAAAUUAUUUGUAUGCUAGGUAGUGAUAUUUUAUAUCGAUGUUCAAGCUCCAAGGACUGAUUCUAUUGUUGAUGUUUAUCUACCGCAGAUUUUGUCCACGAGUUUGGAGAAUCAUGAUCAGGAUGAAAUUUGAAUAUUUGUAUCAAUUUAGGAUGUUGGUAAAAUGAUCUUACCAGAUACAAGUAGUAGGUUUUCCUGCAGGUAUCGCUCUAAUACUAAAGUUAAAAAUUUCCAUUUUAUAUAGCUUGCAUUAAGUAUAUUUGUGACACACUUUCAUUCGUGGCAUAACAAAAUAUCAAUGUAAGGAAGUAAACCAAGAAACUAAAUGUGAAUAUCAAAAGCAAGUACAAUACUGAGGAUGAUGUUGGUGGAGAAUUUGAUUACGCUUUUAGUUUCCUCCAUCUAGACAAGUUUAAAAAAGAUUACUCAAAUUUUGGCUGCAUGAUUGACAUUAUUAGGGAAUUCCACUAUUUAGUACAUAAUAUACUGUUUAAUACGCCGAUUGGUGUAUGUAAACUGCUUGGGCAUUUAUGAUUGUUUACCAUCGUAGUAUUGCCGAACCAUGGCACAGAGUUUCAGUAACAAAUAUGCAUAGAUUCAUAAUUUCAGUAGCAGUAUUGUACUCAUGUUAAGAUUGUUGUCUCUCUGCUCUUAAUAUGUCUGAUCCAUAUAUACUUCUAUUCAUGGUAUAUCCACUACGUUUCAGUAACAAAGACGCAUAGAUUCAUAAUUUCAGUAGCAGUAUGUAAUUUUGUGGCUUAAUUAUUUCUGUACUAAUUAACGAUUAAUAAUUUCAUUGUGAAACAUUCCUCUUCUCAUAUUCCUGCCAUAUCUGCACCUUCUCUGUGUCAUGUGUCAGUACCAAAAGAUGUUGCUUCCAUGUUAAUAAGCUCUUAUCUUGCGAUUGAAUCUGUGCCAGUUUACACAUUCUGUCACAUGAGAUCAGCUAUUUAGUUUAUUCAGUUAGAUAUAAAUAUUUAUCAUUGCACUAUUAUUUAACAGUCUAUACUAAGGGAAAUAGAAGUACUAACUACUUACUUGGAUUAACUAUGCAAAUCGCUGAAAUGGCACCAUUUCUCUCUUAGUAGAAUCACUUAAAUGUCUCCUCCAGUUGCAAGGAGGUUCUUGCUUUUUUAUUAUUCACACAAUCUAUCCCACCAAGAUUAAUACUAUUCAUGCUAGCAGGCUUUACAAGAUUAAAGUGAAAUCUCUUAUAUUAUUCAGAACAUUUAUGUAUGAUUGUUGGUUGUUAAUCACUAUAUGAAACUAUUAUAUUGUUUAGUAUUUUCGCGGCCAAAGAGACACACAUGCUACAGUAGAAAUAAUUUUGAUACUUUUAUGUACUUACAGGUUAGUGGGGAAUGGAACAUGCCCUGAAGUUUGCAUUUCCAGCUAUGUUUGUCAACCAAGGCAUACAUCAUUAUUAAAUUUGCAUGUGCAUAGUUUUACCUCAUCUAUAAAUCUGUGACUGAUGAUAUGCGGUAAUUGUUGUAUAUUUUUUCAUAAUAGCAUGCUACAGCCAUAAUAUCUUUGUAAGGCACAUAUACUGUUCCAUAUGCAAAUACUGUUCGAAGCAAUAUAUAUUUCUAUUCUUUUAUUGAUCGUAUAACCAUCUGACAAGCAUAUAACUCAAUUAAAAGAUGUAAUUUAAGGAAAUUUAUAGAAAAAAGAUGAUAAUUGAAUAAAAUGAGUGAUUUACUGUAUAUCAAAUGUUACCAUGAAUAUGUUAUAUUCAAUAAUUUACUAAAAUAUAUAGAAGCAUAAAGAAAAGUAAGAGAUAAAAAGAAUGUAAUGCAAAAAUGGCAUGGUCUCCUGACGUAGGCUUGCACACUCCGCCGCCUCUGCCUACCUCGGUAUGUGUGCAUGUGAUGGAUCUCAUGUUGGUUUGGUCUGCUAAGUGCCGGUGCUGAAAGCUUUUUUUUUUGCUGCAGGUCCAUGUAGUGAUGAUCCAGAUUUGCAUUCGGGAAAUCAUUCUGAGAAAAAUGAAGAGGCAGCUAUUCCCAUAUGGUGCUGAGAAGUUAGGGAAGAAGGUGUUGUGAAUUUGUGAUACAUGCCUUUGUCGUAUCACUAUAUGCGUUUUUUCCCCAGUUGUGCGAUUCCUGACUUGGUCAUAACUGUAUUAUCAAAAUGUGUGGAACUCCAAGUAGCUGCUCUUUCAUUGGAGCAGGUUGCAUCAGAAAGGCGUUUGCUGCAUCCUCA
Lolium perenne is the source of this 3360-nucleotide non-coding RNA. The record is from RefSeq and is a predicted model, not a curated record. NCBI's taxonomy places the organism in Eukaryota, Viridiplantae, Streptophyta, Magnoliopsida, Poales, Poaceae.